Molecule: unclassified non-coding RNA, 2307 nt
Filed under: Actinia tenebrosa (Australian red waratah sea anemone)
Lineage: Eukaryota; Metazoa; Cnidaria; Anthozoa; Actiniaria; Actiniidae
Description: uncharacterized LOC116295469, transcript variant X2
Source: RNAcentral
UGAAUUUUAUGUCAUAUCCUGUUGUAUUUUUUAUAUUUUUUUAUGUUAAGGAACGCCCUAUGUUCCUAAAUCCAUCAUUUCUUCAUUUCUUUCUACUUUAAAUCUAGAAUUAUGAACUAUCUUUAGAAUUUUGUUGGCAAUGAUUCCAAAUGUGGUUUGCCUUUUUGUUUUAUUGAUUAAUCUACUGACACAUUCAUUCAUCGACUCUUUUUGUUUGUCUCUCUUUGUUGAACUGCAAUGCCUAGGUUAUUACUAUUUCUUAUGGCCUUCUAAAUUUUCGAUUUUUCCCCGGCUUUUAUAAACCAAAAUACUGUGCUAUAUCAAAUCAAAUGAAUAAGCUUAUUAUAAAAGCCAAGAGCUGAAGUGACGCCAUCCGGGGUAUUCCCGUGCAUUUACGAAACAAAAGUUUGGAAAAUGAAAUAUCGUUUAUAUUUGUGAAGAAAAAAGCUUCUCCAGUACUUUUUGGCACAUNAUUUCCAAUCUUUUAUAUACAAAUAUGCAUUAAUAUGAUUUGGAGGGUUUACUAUGGUAAGUCACGAUUUACGUAUAUAGGAAGCGUGACUCAUGCAUUGCACGUGCAUUUUGAACCUUGAAAAUAACAUCACGAUGAGCCGAAUUUCAUCACAUUUAUUACGAUCCAUUGGUGGUAUCAACUUGCAUGUUUUCGAAAUCGUAGCUCACGCUUUUGAAUGUUGAAAUCUCUGUAACAACUAGUUUGUUUGGAUUGCAGAACCGGGUUUUCCCGACAAUGAAGUUUGCAGAAUUACAUUUUUUUNAAUAUUUUUUUUACUAAACUGUACUCAUUAAACUUGCCAUCAUUCAAGUUUGUCCUGAUUCAAAUGCUUGUCCAAAAUCAUGUCCAAAAUCAUGUAUCUUUUACUGAUACGUGACUGCAUUAUUAAAAAUAUCUCAAUGACUGAAAUAUCAGACUUACCACUUUGUUUUACGUCACUGACAUUUGUUGAAAAGGGUAAAGUCCGAGUGUCAACUUUAUUUGCUUUCUCUAAAUAUGGUGAUCGGAUGAUACCAAGAAACUCUCCUUACAAAAUACAAGAACAAAAGGCUUAGGCUUUUAUCACACAGCAAAUGAAAUUUGACUCUAAUAUUGGUAAAAAUGAUCACUGUACCUUUGAUUUUGAAUGGUUUUCCCAAAUAAGGCUUUGGAGUCAGAAUUGCAAAAUUCAAAUAUACAUUCUUUGAACAAACUUUUACAAUUUUUGUGUGGAAAAGUAGUCACAAUCGUUUUUGCGAUUUAGUGAUGUUGGAUAGCUGUGUGAUAGUGUGCUAGAACAGCAGGUUAGGAAUUUAGUUUAAAACAAGUGGCUUUGUGUGAGAUNUUGUGAGAAUUUUUUCCCUGCUUUNGUUCCUUCCUUGUCAUGCAAAGCUGCUACCAGUUCAAUUGGAGACAUGAACAAUUUGGUAGAAGAAAUUCCCAGAGAUAUACAGUGUAUUUAUGAUUGAGGCACAUUUGUGAAAAUUUGACUUUAUUUCUUUAUUUCUAAAAGUAUUGUUGGAUGUCUCCAGUUACAAUUCAGCUGAAUAGUAAAAAGGUCUGUUUUGCAUAGAUCCCAACCAAAGUCCCUACUGAGGUUUUCACUGUCCCNACAAAGCUAGCAUCAUUCUUAAUAGUUGUAGUGUUAACACUUUGGGUGGUUUGGUGCAUGACGAUAUGGUAGGACAGUAAUCAUCCACAUUAUUUUAGUCUAUUACUUUUAUAAUUUGGUUGGUUUUCUUGUUACCUAAAAAANUAAAUAAUAAAUAAAUUUUAAAAAUGGNCAAAACAAAGUAAAUCAAAAACUUUCAAUUGUGUUUUUUUUACUUUCCUAUCAUUUUGAUAUCCUGGGAAACAUGAAAAACAGGAAGCCCCAAAACUGAGGUUUUGGACAACCUUUUCAUUAUAGCCAUGUUGAGUGACAAAGCAACAGCAUCUCAUUCUCAGAAGAAUCAAAUUCUGUUUGAAAUGUUUCUGCCAUUCAACAGGGCUGCAGCCCCUCUCAAAAGUGUACUGUAGAAGUAUAGAUAGAAAAAAACUAGAAAAGCACGUAGACAGCAUAGCAUAGCAUUUUGUUAUGUAUGCAUUAAUAUGUCCAAGGACGUCUUACACAACAGUGCUGAUGCAGCAUCUAUUCAGUGAAAUGUUCUAGAUGAUGCCAAGGUUCCCACAUCCAUUAUGAGGCUCCCUUAUAGAAAUAGAUGAUCAAACUGUAAAGAAAUUUAUUGAUGAAGAGGACUUUAUCAUAUCUUUGGACUAUGACAGCGCUGAAGGAACCUGUAAAAUCACUCUAAGCCGCCCCCCUUCCAGAUGAC